This 338-nucleotide ribosomal RNA is filed under the name Enterococcus faecalis. RNAcentral's name for it is "partial 23S ribosomal RNA". It matches the Rfam family "Bacterial large subunit ribosomal RNA", at positions 1684 to 2020 of the family's 2925-position model. The record is from RNAcentral. Lineage: Bacteria; Bacillati; Bacillota; Bacilli; Lactobacillales; Enterococcaceae.
AGGUGAUCGAGAGAACUCUCGUUAAGGAACUCGGCAAAAUGACCCCGUAACUUCGGGAGAAGGGGUGCUCUGUUAGGGUGCAAGCCCGAGAGAGCCGCAGUGAAUAGGCCCAGGCGACUGUUUAGCAAAAACACAGGUCUCUGCGAAGCCGUAAGGCGAAGUAUAGGGGCUGACGCCUGCCCGGUGCUGGAAGGUUAAGAGGAGCGCUUAGCGUAAGCGAAGGUGCGAAUUGAAGCCCCAGUAAACGGCGGCCGUAACAAUAACGGUCCUAAGGUAGCGAAAUUCCUUGUCGGGUAAGUUCCGACCCGCACGAAAGGCGCAACGAUCUGGGCACUGUC